This 460-nucleotide ribosomal RNA is filed under the name uncultured bacterium. RNAcentral's name for it is "partial 16S ribosomal RNA". It matches the Rfam family "Bacterial small subunit ribosomal RNA", at positions 338 to 795 of the family's 1533-position model. The record is from RNAcentral.
CCUACGGGCGGCAGCAGUGAGGAAUAUUGGUCAAUGGGCGAGAGUCUGAACCAGCCAAGCAGCGUGAAGGAUGACUGCCCUAUGGGUUGUAAACUUCUUUUAUAUGGGAAUAAAAUGUUCAACGUGUGGGAUUUUGUAUGUACCAUAUGAAUAAGGGUCGGCUAACUCCGUGCCAUCAGCCGCGGUAAUACGGAGGAUCCGAGCGUUAUCCGGAUUUAUUGGGUUUAAAGGGUGCGUAGGUGGUUUGUUAAGUCAGUUGUGAAAGUUUGCGGGUCAACCGUAAAAGUGCAGUUGAAACUGGCAGGCUUGAGUACAGUAGAGGUGGGCGGAAUUCGUGGUGUAGCGGUGAAAUGCGUAGAUAUCACGAAGAACUCCGAUUGCGAAGGCAGCUCACUGGACUGAAACUGACACUGAGGCUCGAAAGCGUGGGGAUCAAACAGGAUUAGAUACCCUAGUAGUC